Molecule: ribosomal RNA, 518 nt
Filed under: Leuconostoc mesenteroides
Lineage: Bacteria; Bacillati; Bacillota; Bacilli; Lactobacillales; Lactobacillaceae
Description: bacterial SSU rRNA
Rfam family: Bacterial small subunit ribosomal RNA
Source: RNAcentral
UGGGGUAAAGGCCUACCAAGGCAAUGAUGCGUAGCCGAUUUGAGAGAAUGAUCGGCCACAUUGGGACUGAGACACGGCCCAAACUCCUACGGGAGGCAGCAGUAGGGAAUUUUGCACAAUGGGCGAAACCCUGAUGGAGCAAUGCCGCGUGUGUGAUGAAGGCUUUCGGGUUGUAAAGCACUUUUGUACGGGAAGAACUCGUAGUUUGGGAAAUUAUUUUAGUUUGACGGUACCGUACCAGAAAGGACCGGCUAACUACGUGCCAGCAGCCGCGGUAAUACGUAGGUCCCAAGCGUUAUUCGGAAUUAUUGGGCGUAAAGCGUGCGCAGGCGGUUUAUUAAGUCUGAUGUGAAAUCCCGGAGCUCAACUCCGGAAUGGCAUUGGAAACUGGUUAACUUGAGUGCAGUAGAGGUAAGUGGAACUCCAUGUGUAGCGGUGGAAUGCGUAGAUAUAUGGAGGAAUCCCCAGUGCCRAAGGCGGCUCCCUGGACAACAACUACUGUGAGCUCGGACGUAAAC